Cololabis saira (Pacific saury) is the source of this 499-nucleotide long non-coding RNA. RefSeq lists it as uncharacterized. The record is from RefSeq and is a predicted model, not a curated record. NCBI's taxonomy places the organism in Eukaryota, Metazoa, Chordata, Actinopteri, Beloniformes, Belonidae. The transcript is spliced from 3 exons.
CAACAAGGGAAGACGCUGGAGAUUAUGAGUUGGAAAUAUAUUCAUCUGCCAGUCGUGAACGUUUACAGAGAGUCAACAUAAGUCUAGAAAUAAUAGAACCAGUGUCAGAUCCAAAUGUGUCUCAGACGUGUUUGUCACCAGAACAGAUGAACAUCAGCUGUUCAGCUGAAGGAGAUGGAGUGAAGUUCACUUUAUCUCUAGACGACAACGAACUGAUGCAGACCAGAGAGGGAAGUACAGGAAAACUAAAUGUUUCAAACGUUAGUUUCAUCUUACACGGUCAACUGGUAGGAAAGCUGGUGUGUCGGGUUCAGAACGAUGUCAGCAGUGAACAGACGUCCAUCCAGCUUACAAGCUGUAACGUUGCAAGUUGUACCCUUAUUCUUGUGACCGUAGCCGUGGCAGCAGGUCUGGUUUCUCUGCUUGUGGUUUCAGCUCUUUUUCUUGGUAUCAAGCACUUCAAAAGGAGAACAAACCAACCAAGAAGUGUGAAAGAAGG